UUGCCAGAUGCUAAAUAAGCCUAGAGUGACUGGAACUUCUGAACUUUGGGAACGGGAAAAUCAGGGACUGCACAGUUUCGAAAGCACUUCAACUAAAUUUAUUGCUGGGGAAAAGCAGUGGUGAUGUCAUUUGGAACCAAAUAGGGCCACUGAAGAAGAAUGGUUGGAUCAGGCCUAGAGCAGGUGUGAAGAAAAAUGACAGUCCUGAUUUCUAACUUCACCUAAGCUUAGAGACCAUUUCUUCCCUUAGAAACAAGAAACCACUCACCAGGUGGAUUUUCUAAGCCCUAUGUUAAGAGGGAAAUAACCACAAACAAAUUGUACCAAACAUUUCUGACAAAUGGAUGGCUCUAGCCCCCGAGGUACGUAGGAAGGGAAGGGAGAGAUAAAAAUGGACACAAAAGUAGAAAGCUACCCAAAAUGAGUAAUGAAGAAUAAAAGCAAUCUGAAAAGAACACCUGCUGGACUGACAACAGAAGAGGAACAGGAGAGCAAAGUAAGAUAAAUGCUCAUCUUGGAGAUACGUAAGAUCGAAAGAAGGGAAGAAGAGGCAGAACUUGAGAAGAUCCAACCAGUCUGUCAAAGGAGUAACAAAUUUGCAAAGUGGAACCUGAGUGGCCAAAAAUGCAGCCCUGCAGCUCCCACACUCAGCUUGAACUGGCCGUGACGAUGUGAGCAGGAUCAAGAAGAAAACUGCUAAUCCGGAGACUACCUUUAGAAAUACUUGCUAAGGCAAAGGAGGAAUCGAAUUUUUGAAACAGCUGUCUUAGGGUCUCAGAGUUCACUAUUGCAAUAGACAUAAAAUAGACUAUGAGAAAGGUACAAGCAACUAACAUUCAACAUUAGAAAUCGACACAUUUGUCGAGUACCUGCUGUGCGCC
This 881-nucleotide long non-coding RNA is filed under the name Equus caballus (horse). RNAcentral describes it as "lncRNA (ENSECAG00000040612.3)". The record is from RNAcentral. Lineage: Eukaryota; Metazoa; Chordata; Mammalia; Perissodactyla; Equidae.